Molecule: ribosomal RNA, 492 nt
Filed under: uncultured bacterium
Lineage: Bacteria
Description: partial 16S ribosomal RNA
Rfam family: Bacterial small subunit ribosomal RNA
Source: RNAcentral
AGUGAACGCUGGCGGUAGGCCUAAUACAUGCAAGUCGAACGGCAGCACAGUAAGAGCUUGCUCUUACGGGUGGCGAGUGGCGGACGGGUGAGGAAUACAUCGGCAUCUACUUUUUCGUGGGGGAUAACGUAGGGAAACUGACGCUAAUACCGCAUACGACCUACGGGUGAAAGCAGGGGAUCUUCGGACCUUGCGCGACUGAAUGAGCCGAUGUCGGAUUAGCUAGUUGGCGGGGUAAAGGCCCACCAAGGCAACGAUCCGUAGCUGGUCUGAGAGGAUGAUCGGCCACACUGGAACUGAGACACGGUCCAGACUCCUACGGGAGGCAGCAGUGGGGAAUAUUGGACAAUGGGCGAAAGCCUGAUGCAGCCAUACCGCGUGGGUGAAGAAGGUCUUCGGGUUGUAAAGCCCUGUUGUUGGGAAAGAAAAGCAGCAGAUUAAAACCCCGCUGUUCUGACGGUACCCAAAGAGUAAGCACCGGCUAACUUCGUG